Molecule: long non-coding RNA, 1116 nt
Organism: Papaver somniferum (opium poppy)
Lineage: Eukaryota; Viridiplantae; Streptophyta; Magnoliopsida; Ranunculales; Papaveraceae
Exons: 2
Source: RefSeq, a predicted model, not a curated record
CAUAUCCUAGCAAAUCAUAUUUCAAUCGCAUUCCAUCUCUUUUCUUUUCUAUCUGUUAGUGUUCAUUGAGUUAGAGGAGAAUCGAUCUCGGGGGUUUUAUUCUUUGGAUUCUCAGUUCUUUGCAAAUUUGGAAAUCGAAACAGGAUGUCGAGGAGAGUAUUAUUAAACAAGAUGGUUGAAUUUAGGAACAGUAUUGGCAAGAUAGCGACUCCAGUAUCAUCGGAUUUGGGGAAGUUUAAGAAUGAAUUCCAUACCUUAGGAGGGAGCACCAACAAACUUAUUAACGCGCAAACUCAGUGUCGUCAAGUUGGAAUUUAUCCACCUUACCAGAAUACAACCACAAGAUGUUUUGGGGCAAUGCCAAUAGAGAAAGUGGAAAAGUCAGCUGUAAAAGGGAACACACUGAAACAGAUAUUUGAGGCGAACCGUGCUGUUUUCUGGCAUAUGAAUCUAGGAAUGGAAGAGAUAUUGAAGGAUUAUGUUCACCAGGAAGUUACCCGUGAAUGGGUCUCGGUCUAUUUGAGAGUUUUUUCUAUCAUUGUGAUGAAAGAUCUUGUCUUGGCUCUUGUUUGAACUUGUUGAAGAACCUAACAAGGUCAACCUCAUACUUGGCCUAAGAACUACCUUGCAAUAAGCACCUUCAACACCAAAUGCACAAAGAUCGGUGAUUGGUUGGAUUUAAGAUAAGGGGAAUUCUUCUUCUCGCCAUUGUUGUUCUGUUUUUUUUCAUUUCAGCAUUGUAGGAAGUUAUCCUUUACUCUGCGUCUUUUUAAUUUCGUAUCUUAUGUUCUCUGGAGUUUAGUUGUUGGAUGUGAUUAAUAUCCUCCAAAAACCUAAGAGUUUCUGCAAAUAAUUACAUGCUUAAGUUCUGUUGAUGGGGGACUUUUGCCAGACAAUUGCAUGCUUCAGUUUUGGUUUCUUCGUUAAUAACAUCUGUUGAUAACAUCUAUGGUAUUUUGCUUCUUUUUGCUGUUUGUAUAGUGUCAUGAUUACUUCUUUUGUACGGGAGGAUGUAUUUCCGGUCUCAGUUUAUACUUCUUCUAGUUCGAUGUGGCUCUGGUUUCAUGGUCCUGGGGUUUCUUGAAGGAAUUAACUGGAUACACAAAUGUAUAACUA